This 665-nucleotide ribosomal RNA is filed under the name uncultured Thermomicrobium sp. RNAcentral describes it as "bacterial SSU rRNA". It matches the Rfam family "Bacterial small subunit ribosomal RNA", at positions 8 to 692 of the family's 1533-position model. The record is from RNAcentral. Lineage: Bacteria; Pseudomonadati; Thermomicrobiota; Thermomicrobia; Thermomicrobiales; Thermomicrobiaceae.
AGAGUUUGAUCCUGGCUCAGGACUAACGCUGGCGGUAUGCCUUAGACAUGCAAGUCGAACGAGUUUCCGGGCUUGCUCGGAAACUAGUGGCGAACGGCUGAGUAACGCGUAGGUGACCUACCCCGUAGUGUGGAAUAACUGCCCGAAAGGGUAGCUAAUACCGCAUGUUGAGCCGACAUCAAUGUCGUCUCCAAAGCAGAAAUGCGCUAUGGGCGGGGCCUGCGUUCGAUUAGCUAGUUGGUGGGGUAAUGGCUCACCAAGGCGACGAUCGAUAGGUGGUCUGAGAGGACGAUCACCCAGACUGGGACUGAGACACGGCCCAGACUCCUACGGGAGGCAGCAGUCGGGAAUUUUGCGCAAUGGGGGAAACCCUGACGCAGCAAUACCGCGUGUGGGAUGAAGGCCUUCGGGUCGUAAACCACUUUUUUCGGGGACGAUAAUGACGGUACCCGAAGAAUAAGCCACGGCUAACUACGUGCCAGCAGCCGCGGUAAUACGUAGGUGGCAAGCGUUGUCCGGAUUUACUGGGCGUAAAGCGCGCGCAGACGGUGAAUGAAGUCGAAAGUGAAAGCCCCGGGCUCAACUCGGGAACUGCUUUCGAAACCAGUUCACUUGAAAGGCGGAAGAGGGAAGUGGAAAUUCCGAGUGUAGUGGUGGAAUGCGUA